This 112-nucleotide small nucleolar RNA is filed under the name Nelumbo nucifera (sacred lotus). RNAcentral's name for it is "Small nucleolar RNA snoR100". It matches the Rfam family "Small nucleolar RNA snoR100". Lineage: Eukaryota; Viridiplantae; Streptophyta; Magnoliopsida; Proteales; Nelumbonaceae. The record is from Rfam by way of RNAcentral.
UUUUGAAGGAAGCAUGGUAAGGUGCAUAGAGAUGAAAUGCAAGGUCCAAAAUGUCUGCUCACUUCGAUGCUUUGUGGCUUUGAUUACACGAGCCUAGAUAUGACCUAUAUUU